AAUGAACGCUGGCGGCAGGCCUAACACAUGCAAGUCGAACGAGGUAGCAAUACCUAGUGGCGGACGGGUGAGUAACACGUGGGAACGUACCCUUUGCUACGGAAUAGCCCUGGGAAACUGGGAGUAAUACCGUAUGAGCCCGAGAGGGGAAAGAUUUAUCGGCAAAGGAUCGGCCCGCGUUGGAUUAGGUAGUUGGUGGGGUAAUGGCCUACCAAGCCGACGAUCCAUAGCUGGUUUGAGAGGAUGAUCAGCCACACUGGGACUGAGACACGGCCCAGACUCCUACGGGAGGCAGCAGUGGGGAAUCUUAGACGAUGGGGAAACCCUGAUCUAGCCAUGCCGCGUGAUCGAUGAAGGCCUUAGGGUUGUAAAGAUCUUUCAGGUGGGAAGAUAAUGACUGUACCACCAGAAGAAGCCCCGGCUAACUCCGUGCCAGCAGCCGCGGUAAU
Molecule: ribosomal RNA, 449 nt
Filed under: uncultured bacterium
Lineage: Bacteria
Description: bacterial SSU rRNA
Rfam family: Bacterial small subunit ribosomal RNA
Source: RNAcentral